UGUUUUGUAAUGUCCAUAUAAAUCAACGUAUAUCCAACAGAAUGAUGUCCUAACUUGACUGUCAUUAACGGAACAGAGGAUAGGACCCAAAAAUGCACGACUCCAAAACAAACGGACAGUUUCAAAAGAGGGGUUUAAUAUACGGGUAUAGGUCGGUACACAGGCAGGCAAUCCAAAAAAGACAGCAGUAUCCAAAACCACGAGGCAAAGAGGCGAGGUCGAUAAUCGGAACAGGGUCUAGUCUAACUGUGAGUCUGUGACGUGGAAACAAGGAAUGCUGGAACACGACGACAAGGUACAACGAACUGGCGACGAGAGGGAUUGAGACACGCGGUUAAAUACAAGGGGUAAUUAGGGUGAACGAGGCACAGGUGGUGAAGAUGCUCUCAGGAGCAGAUCCGCGAGGCCGCCAAGACCCACAAGCUGGUGGAGCAGGAGCUGGCACACGCCGUCAACGCCAGCGUCACGGUGCUGACUGAGGCCAAGCUGUCCAGCCCUGAGUUUUGGAGUCGCAGCACAGCUGUGGAAAUUGUCAACAGCAGCAAAGUUCUCCAGGCUGAGACAACCCUGCUUCUGGAUGGAAAACAUCCGGUAACCUCUCUCGCCACUAGCUGCUGCCACUUUUUGGCCAUCUGAUCCUCCUCAGUCCGAGUUCCUUGAGGAAGAGGGGCUCCGCUUAACCCUGAACAGCCUGAGUGCUGACCUCCACAAACUGGAUGACAUCCACUGGAUCUGUCCACUAACGCACUGUGCUGAGGAGGGGUUGGUGCGUCCCAGUAGUAAAAGCAGCAUAACUCUUAAGAUCAUGCCAAGGUGAAGAGGGAGAAGGAAAAGCUCCACAAGCAGAAGUCAAACCGCUCGCUCUCAGGAACACGGUAUGCCAAGUGUACGACUCCUGAAGCAGAAUCGCCAGGCAACUGAUGAUCUUUUCCGGCCCCUAACCUUGACCGCCGCGAGUGAGGAGAUGCCGUGCUCUUAUCUGCCGGCACCCGCUGUCCUGACUACGGCGUAGGCGGCAAGGAUUAGCUGUUUUGCGUUUCCUUACUGUGCAUUUUUUUUUUCGAAGCGGUGUCACUCGCAUUGCUCCUCCACUGGCCUGCUGUGCUAAUGAAAGAGCCUACAAUUCUGUCAUUUUGUCAUAAACAGUGUCUACACGUUGCUUGCAUGCAGCAGAGUACAGAACAUCUUUUAGAAACGACACGAUGGAAACCGCCUUCAGACUGAAAUUAGACUUUUCGGGGACACCUUGUUUCUACAUCACGCAACCUUCAAUGGCACCAGAAGCCGAUGUGCAGAAAUCUUGGAUUUUGAACAGAAAAGAAAAACAUUGACUGUAUUUGUGUGUUGAGCUGUUAAUAAUACUACUGAUAAUAAUACUGAUAAUGAUGUGCACAUGCAAGGUGCUCAAGUGGUUUUGACUUUAUUUGGCUUGUCGUGACCUCCACUAAAGAGGUCACGGGGGUGGUUCAUGAUCAGCUGACUCGAGAUGUAAUGCACCAAUGUGAAUGUUUGCUUUGCCAGUAGUUCCCAAUUGUUUUUAUCGUCUUGCUCUCGCGGGUUUGCUGUCCAAUCCCCCACCACCCCCAGGUCCCCCCAACCAUCCCCCCCGUGCGUUCAUAAACACGAUAGGAUCAAUCAAGAAAUCAAGUUGGCCAAACGGGGAAAUUUGUAGUUUGCAUAAGCAUGUUUAGUCUAAGCUGAUGCUUGCUGUGAGGGGCAUACUAAAUGAUAGCGCGUGCAGGAACAUGCUUGUUUCCGCUCACGGUCGAGCAUUGCCAAGCUCCACUGUCGUCGGGUGCUGGUCAGUGUGCGCUGCUGCCUUUUUCCCUUCAUGGCUUUUGUGGUGGUGUGCCAAGUAGAGCGACACACUCCAGUGGUGUGUGCAAUGUGGCGUUCAUUUCAAGUUUACUGUGUCUGGGCUCGCACUUUACAGACUCCUUGAUGGGGGAAAUGUGCGUGUACACGCGUUUACGUCAAAUUAGGUGAAGAAUAUGAAUUUUUAUUUGUGAUGAACUAUUAAAUAUAUAAUGUAAAAAUGCACGCCCAUCGAUGUGAUCCAUGGCUGUGGCGUUCCUGCUCCCGUGUCCACUGAUGCGCUGGGCCAACGUGUUACCAUGGUAACCACGUUAUCCAUUUGAAGCUUAAAGCCAAAGCUUAAGUCAACUCAUGAAUCACUUAUUGAUGAAGAUAAAAUGUUUGUGCACAAUGUGUAACUUUUUGAAAUUGUAUCAUCAACUUGUUCUGAAUAUAUGAUUGCAACGUGUAUAUGGGUUUUAAAAAGAAAGCUCAUGUAUAUUUAAUUUGAUCAAUGAUUGUUUGAACGUAAUUUAAUGGGGUUAACAAUGAUUCCGCAAUGCUGGGUGUUUGCACGAGUGUGUGCUUGUUGCCAGUUUUUCCGUCAUGUAACGAAGAUAAGCUUAGGAAAUUAAAAUGACUUGAUGGUGUGAUAAAUGUGCUGCUUCCAACGUGUCUGACUUAAAAGUACGUUUUAUUAAUACCUGCAUGUAAGUUUGUACGGUUUGUAUGAAAAUGCUUGCCGCAGCUUCUCCUUACAUACAUUGUGACCAACAAAGCUGACACAAUAUGAAGUUGUCAUUUCUCUUAAUUGUUGAUUAUUGAAAUGUUUAGAGUGAGGGGCUAUAAAGGUGUUCUGUCAUAAACAGACUUUGCGUCUUUUCCCAACACAACUCUGCUUUCAGCUGGACUAUUGCAUGACAGGCGUGCGUGUCAAAUGCCUCAGUGUGUGCUGUAUGUUGUUUGUGAAUCCAUCCAGUAAGGAAUAAACUGUAUUGGAAAACUAA
Phyllopteryx taeniolatus (common seadragon) is the source of this 2801-nucleotide long non-coding RNA. RefSeq lists it as uncharacterized. Lineage: Eukaryota; Metazoa; Chordata; Actinopteri; Syngnathiformes; Syngnathidae. The record is from RefSeq and is a predicted model, not a curated record. The transcript is spliced from 5 exons.